GUGGCUUUAGCUCAGUUGGUAGAGCAUCGGAUUGUGAUUCCGAGGGUCGGCGGUUCGAGCCCGCUAAGCCACC
This 73-nucleotide transfer RNA is filed under the name beta proteobacterium AAP99. It matches the Rfam family "tRNA". Rfam says of the family: Transfer RNA (tRNA) molecules are approximately 80 nucleotides in length. Their secondary structure includes four short double-helical elements and three loops (D, anti-codon, and T loops). Further hydrogen bonds mediate the characteristic L-shaped molecular structure. tRNAs have two regions of fundamental functional importance: the anti-codon, which is responsible for specific mRNA codon recognition, and the 3' end, to which the tRNAs corresponding amino acid is attached (by aminoacyl-tRNA synthetases). tRNAs cope with the degeneracy of the genetic code in two manners: having more than one tRNA (with a specific anti-codon) for a particular amino acid; and 'wobble' base-pairing, i.e. permitting non-standard base-pairing at the 3rd anti-codon position. The record is from Rfam by way of RNAcentral. Lineage: Bacteria; Pseudomonadati; Pseudomonadota; Betaproteobacteria.